GACGAACGCUGGCGGCGUGCUUAACACAUGCAAGUCGUACGGUAAGGCCCUUUCGGGGGUACACGAGUGGCGAACGGGUGAGUAACACGUGAGUAACCUGCCCACAACUUUGGGAUAACGCUAGGAAACUGGUGCUAAUACUGGAUAUGUGCUCCUGCUGCAUGGUGGGGGUUGGAAAGCUCCGGCGGUUGUGGAUGGACUCGCGGCCUAUCAGCUUGUUGGUGGGGUAGUGGCCUACCAAGGCGGCGACGGGUAGCCGGCCUGAGAGGGUGACCGGCCACAUUGGGACUGAGAGACGGCCCAGACUCCUACGGGAGGCAGCAGUGGGGAAUAUUGAACAAGGGGCGCAAGCCUGAUGCAGCAGCGCCGCGUGCGGGAUGACGGCCUUCGGGUUGUAAACCGCUUUCAGCAGGGACGAAGCUUUUUGUGACGGUACCUGCAGAAGAAGCACCGGCUAACUACGUG
Molecule: ribosomal RNA, 465 nt
Filed under: uncultured bacterium
Lineage: Bacteria
Description: partial 16S ribosomal RNA
Rfam family: Bacterial small subunit ribosomal RNA
Source: RNAcentral